CACGGAAUGCCACUUCCCCUGCUUACCCAUUUGGCCUGGGUUGGGAGAUGAACUUGAUUUAAGGGCACCACCUGGACCUGUGCUUUGGUUUCUUGCUUUUCUACUUAAGGUCAGGGAAGGUGACUCCUCGGCAUAUGUUACUCUCAUCGAAGAUUCUGCGUCUACUUUAGUCAGCUUUCUCUCAGCCAAGCCCCUUUGGUUUUCGUGCCAAUAAAAUGGACAAGUGUUCUUUCUUGCUGA
RNAcentral lists this long non-coding RNA (240 nucleotides) under Pan troglodytes (chimpanzee). RNAcentral's name for it is "long non-coding RNA NONPTRT002884". Lineage: Eukaryota; Metazoa; Chordata; Mammalia; Primates; Hominidae. The record is from RNAcentral.